UUGUGGUUGAAAUGAUAUAGAAGAACUUGUUCAGAUUUGUAUUUCAACAUUGCAAUGAGUGGCGAACGGGUGAGUAACACGUAGGGAAACCUACCUCUUAGCAGGGAUAACAUUUGGAAACAAUGCUAAUACCGUUAUAAUAAUUAAAACCGCAUGGUUUUAGUUUAAAAGAUGGUCUUGCUAUCACUAAGAGAUGGUCCCGCGGUGUAUUAGUUAGUUGGUGAGGUAAUGGCUCACCAAGACAAUGAUACAUAGCCGAGUUGAGAGACUGACCGGCCACAAUGGGACUGAGACACGGCCCAUACUCCUACGGGAGGCAGCAGUAGGGAAUCUUCCACAAUGGACGAAAGUCUGAUGGAGCAACGCCGCGUGUGUGAUGAAGGGUUUCGGCUCGUAAAACACUGUUAUAAGAGAAGAAUGACAUUGAGAGUAACUGUUCAAUGUGUGACGGUAUCUUACCAGAAAGGAACGGCUAAAUACGUG
RNAcentral lists this ribosomal RNA (483 nucleotides) under uncultured bacterium. RNAcentral's name for it is "bacterial SSU rRNA". It matches the Rfam family "Bacterial small subunit ribosomal RNA", at positions 37 to 507 of the family's 1533-position model. The record is from RNAcentral.